CAGCCGCCGCGGUAAUACGUAGGGCGCAAGCGUUAUCCGGAAUUAUUGGGCGUAAAGAGCUCGUAGGCGGUUUGUCGCGUCUGCCGUGAAAGUCCGGGGCUCAACCCCGGAUCUGCGGUGGGUACGGGCAGACUAGAGUGAUGUAGGGGAGACUGGAAUUCCUGGUGUAGCGGUGAAAUGCGCAGAUAUCAGGAGGAACACCGAUGGCGAAGGCAGGUCUCUGGGCAUUAACUGACGCUGAGGAGCGAAAGCAUGGGGAGCGAACAGGAUUAGAUACCCCUGUAGUCCCUGUCUCUUAUAA
This 301-nucleotide ribosomal RNA is filed under the name uncultured bacterium. Its description in RNAcentral is "partial 16S ribosomal RNA". It matches the Rfam family "Bacterial small subunit ribosomal RNA", at positions 509 to 809 of the family's 1533-position model. The record is from RNAcentral.